This 303-nucleotide ribosomal RNA is filed under the name uncultured bacterium. Its description in RNAcentral is "partial 16S ribosomal RNA". It matches the Rfam family "Bacterial small subunit ribosomal RNA", at positions 507 to 807 of the family's 1533-position model. The record is from RNAcentral.
AGCAGCAGCCGCGGGAAUACGUAGGGGGCAAGCGUUAUCCGGAAUUACUGGGUGUAAAGGGAGCGUAGACGGUUAAACAAGUCUGAAGUGAAAUGCCGGGGCUCAACCCCGGAGCCGCUUUGGGAACUGUAGAACUGGAGUGUCGGAGGGGUAAGCGGAAUUCCCAGUGUAGCGGUGAAAUGCGUAGAUAUUGGGAGGAACACCGGCGGCGAAGGCGGCUUACUGGACGACAACUGACGUUGAGGCUCGAAGGCGUGGGUAGCAAACAGGAUUAGAUACCCCAGUAGUCCCUGUCUCUUAUAC